AAAAAGAAACACUGAGGUGUAUAGAAACGACGUUGUUGUUGUUGUCGUUUUAGACACAGACAUCACCUCCUAAUUUCUAGGUCCGAGGUAUAAGGAAACACUGAGGUUUAGAUUCGUUGCGUCUUUCAUUUCACUCCUCACGUAAAUAUCAUCAUCAUUUUCUAAAGGGUUUCUUCAUUUUUCAGGUAUCAUCAUCUUUCCAACAAUUCCAGGUUAUCCCUUAUUAGUUAUGGCAGUAAAACCGACAGUUGCAUUUAGAGCCAUCCUUGUUGGAGGCAUAGCGGCAUUUGCUAAAAUAGCAGGUGCAAUGAAGGCAGCAGGUGGUGUAAAGAUGGGUGCGGCUGCAGCUGCCAUGACAGCAGCAGCAACUGCAGCUAUUACUGGUUCAAAACAAGAGCAAACCGAUGCUUCUCAACAGCCUUCAAAAUAAAUAUAUUUUCGAAAGUUUAUGUAGCAUAGUUCAAUAUUCACUAUUCGGUUAGUUGAGCCGAAAGAUAAGAGACCGUAUGCGAUGGUAAUGUAUUAACCACUUCAAGCCUUUGUUGUAAGAUUUCAUUAGAUAUGUAAAGUUCCUGAAGUUUUAGAUGAAGCUAUGGAUUUUUGAGACAAAGCUAAACUCCAACUGAGUAAUUUUGAAUUAGAUUUUCAAAAUCUAUUUUUGCCAAGACAAUCCAACUGAGUUUGGCUUGUUGGAGAAAAAUUGCAUCAUCAAUAAGGCAAGAUCCAUUUAUUGGACUGUAUUAUUUUUCAA
Trifolium pratense (red clover) is the source of this 751-nucleotide long non-coding RNA. RefSeq lists it as uncharacterized. The record is from RefSeq and is a predicted model, not a curated record. The transcript is spliced from 2 exons. NCBI's taxonomy places the organism in Eukaryota, Viridiplantae, Streptophyta, Magnoliopsida, Fabales, Fabaceae.